This 623-nucleotide ribosomal RNA is filed under the name uncultured bacterium. RNAcentral describes it as "bacterial SSU rRNA". It matches the Rfam family "Bacterial small subunit ribosomal RNA", at positions 338 to 951 of the family's 1533-position model. The record is from RNAcentral.
CCUACGGGAGGCAGCAGUGGGGAAGUUUUGGACAAUGGGCGCAAGCCUGAUCCAGCAAUGCCGCGUGCAGGAUGAAGGCCUUCGGGUUGUAAACUGCUUUUGUACGGAACGAAACGGCUCUUUCUAAUAAAGAGAGCUAAUGACGGUACCGUAAGAAUAAGCACCGGCUAACUACGUGCCAGCAGCCGCGGUAAUACGUAGGGUGCGAGCGUUAAUCGGAAUUACUGGGCGUAAAGCGUGCGCAGGCGGUUAUAUAAGACAGAUGUGAAAUCCCCGGGCUCAACCUGGGACCUGCAUUUGUGACUGUAUAGCUAGAGUACGGUAGAGGGGGAUGGAAUUCCGCGUGUAGCAGUGAAAUGCGUAGAUAUGCGGAGGAACACCGAUGGCGAAGGCAAUCCCCUGGACCUGUACUGACGCUCAUGCACGAAAGCGUGGGGAGCAAACAGGAUUAGAUACCCUGGUAGUCCACGCCCUAAACGAUGUCAACUGGUUGUUGGGUCUUCACUGACUCAGUAACGAAGCUAACGCGUGAAGUUGACCGCCUGGGGAGUACGGCCGCAAGGUUGAAACUCAAAAGAGUAGUGACGUGNGAGAGCGACGACGACGACGACGGAGGGAGGAGG